CAGAUGAGAUAACAUAUGUGAACCUUCUACUGAACCCUGAACGUUACACUGGCUAUGCUGGUCCAUCAGCAAGAAGGAUAUGGGAUGCUGUUUAUUCUGAAAAUUGCCCAAAAUAUAGAAAACGGACACAUAUCUGGAGGAAGAUCCCUGCAAAGCUUUUCUUGAAGUAGAGGAAGAAAAGUACCUUGUAUUAUCUUGUAAACUCUUGUAUAAGAGCUUCAUUUCUUUUGUAACAUUCAUGAGAAAAAUCAAAAUGUAACAUUCCCUUUUCAAUA
Rosa rugosa (rugosa rose) is the source of this 275-nucleotide long non-coding RNA. RefSeq lists it as uncharacterized. Lineage: Eukaryota; Viridiplantae; Streptophyta; Magnoliopsida; Rosales; Rosaceae. The transcript is spliced from 2 exons. The record is from RefSeq and is a predicted model, not a curated record.